Non-coding RNA from Cajanus cajan (pigeon pea), 747 nucleotides. The record is from RefSeq and is a predicted model, not a curated record. Lineage: Eukaryota; Viridiplantae; Streptophyta; Magnoliopsida; Fabales; Fabaceae.
GGGGUUCUAAAUCUUCCAUAGGAAGUACUUUUGCUGAUAAUAUAUCUAAUGAGGUAGUACAAAGAUUAGAGCAAGAGGUGAGGAUGUUAAAGGAGUUAAAAGAAAAACAUGAUGAAGAAAUGAAUUUGAUGAAACAAAAUCAAGAUAAGUUACUUUCAAAACUAUCUUUCAUUAGAAAAUUUAUGUAUAAACAUUUUCCAACGAAGCUAUCUAUGCUUCAAAAGUUCAAUGAAAGCUCAUUUGGACAGGUAUGAUUCAAAUGCUUUUAACCAUUUUUUUUUCAAAUUCUGAUUGUAAAAGACAAUUUUUAUUUUCUGAUGUCUUAAUUAAGUCUUCGAUACUAAUAUUGGCCAGGAAAAAGCACCAAAAAUGCCACACAUGUCCUUUGGUACUCAUGGUAAUUUGUAAUGCCUUUUGUACUUGCACCUAUAAAUACUCUUUGUAAAGUGUACAUGUUAACACUUUUUUUUUUCUUUUUGGAUUUGUAGAAUCACAAUUACCUACAAAAUUUACUGCAACUGCGAAAAUAGAAUCACAAUCAACUAAAAUUCCAAUUGUUAUAGUGAAAACAGAGGCUAACAAAAAAAGUAUUGUUCAAGUUGGUGGCCUCACUUCCUUGCUCAAGCUUCUUAGAAAAGAUAAUGAUGAAAUUAUUUGCAUACUAGCAGUAGAGGCAAUUGCCAAUCAGUCCAUGAAUGGUGGUUAUGUAUUAGACAUUGUGUUAAGUAAAUUAGUCCAAUUUAUCUA